RNAcentral lists this ribosomal RNA (2681 nucleotides) under Drosophila melanogaster (fruit fly). RNAcentral describes it as "eukaryotic LSU rRNA". The stretch from base 573 to 2681 matches the Rfam family "Eukaryotic large subunit ribosomal RNA", at positions 1 to 1814 of the family's 3401-position model. Lineage: Eukaryota; Metazoa; Arthropoda; Insecta; Diptera; Drosophilidae. The record is from RNAcentral.
ACUCUAAGCGGUGGAUCACUCGGCUCAUGGGUCGAUGAAGAACGCAGCAAACUGUGCGUCAUCGUGUGAACUGCAGGACACAUGAACAUCGACAUUUUGAACGCAUAUCGCAGUCCAUGCUGUUAUGUACUUUAAUUAAUUUUAUAGUGCUGCUUGGACUACAUAUGGUUGAGGGUUGUAAGACUAUGCUAAUUAAGUUGCUUAUAAAUUUUUAUAAGCAUAUGGUAUAUUAUUGGAUAAAUAUAAUAAUUUUUAUUCAUAAUAUUAAAAAAUAAAUGAAAAACAUUAUCUCACAUUUGAAUGUGAAAAACGAAGAGAAAUAUUUUCUUUUUCAAUCAAAUAAUACUGAGAAAUGUCUAGCAUAAAAAAUUGAAAUAUUUUUCAUCUAGAAUUGUCUCUUAUUAAUGAUUCGGAAAUAGAAAAAUCUUGGUUAUGUUAUUAUUCUUCGUUGGUUCGUUAAAAAUGGAUAAAUAAAAACUUUGCAUACAAGAAUUAAUAAAAAUGUUAUAACGAAUUUAAUUAAAUGUUUUAUCAUUAUAUAUAAAGAAUUUAUGGCAAGAUAAAGUUAUAUACAACCUCAACUCAUAUGGGACUACCCCCUGAAUUUAAGCAUAUUAAUUAGGGGAGGAAAAGAAACUAACAAGGAUUUUCUUAGUAGCGGCGAGCGAAAAGAAAACAGUUCAGCACUAAGUCACUUUGUCUAUAUGGCAAAUGUGAGAUGCAGUGUAUGGAGCGUCAAUAUUCUAGUAUGAGAAAUUAACGAUUUAAGUCCUUCUUAAAUGAGGCCAUUUACCCAUAGAGGGUGCCAGGCCCGUAUAACGUUAAUGAUUACUAGAUGAUGUUUCCAAAGAGUCGUGUUGCUUGAUAGUGCAGCACUAAGUGGGUGGUAAACUCCAUCUAAAACUAAAUAUAACCAUGAGACCGAUAGUAAACAAGUACCGUGAGGGAAAGUUGAAAAGAACUCUGAAUAGAGAGUUAAACAGUACGUGAAACUGCUUAGAGGUUAAGCCCGAUGAACCUGAAUAUCCGUUAUGGAAAAUUCAUCAUUAAAAUUGUAAUAUUUAAAUAAUAUUAUGAGAAUAGUGUGCAUUUUUUCCAUAUAAGGACAUUGUAAUCUAUUAGCAUAUACCAAAUUUAUCAUAAAAUAUAACUUAUAGUUUAUUCCAAUUAAAUUGCUUGCAUUUUAACACAGAAUAAAUGUUAUUAAUUUGAUAAAGUGCUGAUAGAUUUAUAUGAUUACAGUGCGUUAAUUUUUCGGAAUUAUAUAAUGGCAUAAUUAUCAUUGAUUUUUGUGUUUAUUAUAUGCACUUGUAUGAUUAACAAUGCGAAAGAUUCAGGAUACCUUCGGGACCCGUCUUGAAACACGGACCAAGGAGUCUAACAUAUGUGCAAGUUAUUGGGAUAUAAACCUAAUAGCGUAAUUAACUUGACUAAUAAUGGGAUUAGUUUUUUAGCUAUUUAUAGCUAAUUAACACAAUCCCGGGGCGUUCUAUAUAGUUAUGUAUAAUGUAUAUUUAUAUUAUUUAUGCCUCUAACUGGAACGUACCUUGAGCAUAUAUGCUGUGACCCGAAAGAUGGUGAACUAUACUUGAUCAGGUUGAAGUCAGGGGAAACCCUGAUGGAAGACCGAAACAGUUCUGACGUGCAAAUCGAUUGUCAGAAUUGAGUAUAGGGGCGAAAGACCAAUCGAACCAUCUAGUAGCUGGUUCCUUCCGAAGUUUCCCUCAGGAUAGCUGGUGCAUUUUAAUAUUAUAUAAAAUAAUCUUAUCUGGUAAAGCGAAUGAUUAGAGGCCUUAGGGUCGAAACGAUCUUAACCUAUUCUCAAACUUUAAAUGGGUAAGAACCUUAACUUUCUUGAUAUGAAGUUCAAGGUUAUGAUAUAAUGUGCCCAGUGGGCCACUUUUGGUAAGCAGAACUGGCGCUGUGGGAUGAACCAAACGUAAUGUUACGGUGCCCAAAUUAACAACUCAUGCAGAUACCAUGAAAGGCGUUGGUUGCUUAAAACAGCAGGACGGUGAUCAUGGAAGUCGAAAUCCGCUAAGGAGUGUGUAACAACUCACCUGCCGAAGCAACUAGCCCUUAAAAUGGAUGGCGCUUAAGUUGUAUACCUAUACAUUACCGCUAAAGUAGAUGAUUUAUAUUACUUGUGAUAUAAAUUUUGAAACUUUAGUGAGUAGGAAGGUACAAUGGUAUGCGUAGAAGUGUUUGGCGUAAGCCUGCAUGGAGCUGCCAUUGGUACAGAUCUUGGUGGUAGUAGCAAAUAAUCGAAUGAGACCUUGGAGGACUGAAGUGGAGAAGGGUUUCGUGUGAACAGUGGUUGAUCACGAGUUAGUCGGUCCUAAGUUCAAGGCGAAAGCCGAAAAUUUUCAAGUAAAACAAAAAUGCCUAACUAUAUAAACAAAGCGAAUUAUAAUACACUUGAAUAAUUUUGAACGAAAGGGAAUACGGUUCCAAUUCCGUAACCUGUUGAGUAUCCGUUUGUUAUUAAAUAUGGGCCUCGUGCUCAUCCUGGCAACAGGAACGACCAUAAAGAAGCCGUCGAGAGAUAUCGGAAGAGUUUUCUUUUCUGUUUUAUAGCCGUACUACCAUGGAAGUCUUUCGCAGAGAGAUAUGGUAGAUGGGCUAGAAGAGCAUGACAUAUACUGUUGUGUCGAUAUUUUCUCCUCGGACCUUGAAAAUUU